RNAcentral lists this ribosomal RNA (253 nucleotides) under uncultured bacterium. RNAcentral's name for it is "partial 16S ribosomal RNA". It matches the Rfam family "Bacterial small subunit ribosomal RNA", at positions 524 to 776 of the family's 1533-position model. The record is from RNAcentral.
UACAGAGGGUGCAAGCGUUAAUCGGAAUUACUGGGCGUAAAGGGUGCGUAGGUGGUUAGGUAAGUUAGAUGUGAAAUUCCAGGGCUUAACCUUGGGACGGCGUUUAAAACUGCCUAGCUAGAGUACUGUAGAGGGAAGUGGAAUUUCCGGUGUAGCGGUGAAAUGCGUAGAUAUGGGGAGGAACACCGGUGGCGAAGGCGGCCACCUGGACGGUAACUGACGCUGAGACGCGAAAGCGUGGGGAGCAAACAGG